GCUGGCGUAGCUCAGUUGGUAGAGCAGCGCAUUCGUAAUGCGCAGGCCGGGGGUUCGAAACCUCUCGCCAGCU
RNAcentral lists this transfer RNA (73 nucleotides) under Candidatus Omnitrophota bacterium. Its description in RNAcentral is "Candidatus Omnitrophica bacterium (sediment metagenome) tRNA-Thr". It matches the Rfam family "tRNA". From Rfam's summary of the family: Transfer RNA (tRNA) molecules are approximately 80 nucleotides in length. Their secondary structure includes four short double-helical elements and three loops (D, anti-codon, and T loops). Lineage: Bacteria; Pseudomonadati; Candidatus Omnitrophota. The record is from RNAcentral.